UUGCGGCCGCAUCACUUUGAUACACCUGUUCCCGUUCAAUCACCGGAGUUAAGCAACAUCGAUCCUGUUCAGUACCUAGAUGAGUGACCGCUUCGGAACACCACCUGCUAUA
This is a non-coding RNA of Acanthosepion pharaonis, 112 nucleotides long. The record is from the annotation of a GenBank genome assembly. NCBI's taxonomy places the organism in Eukaryota, Metazoa, Mollusca, Cephalopoda, Sepiida, Sepiidae.